This 335-nucleotide ribosomal RNA is filed under the name Tsukamurella tyrosinosolvens. Its description in RNAcentral is "bacterial LSU rRNA". It matches the Rfam family "Bacterial large subunit ribosomal RNA", at positions 454 to 788 of the family's 2925-position model. Lineage: Bacteria; Bacillati; Actinomycetota; Actinomycetes; Mycobacteriales; Tsukamurellaceae. The record is from RNAcentral.
CACCCGGUAAGCCUGAAUACUACCUUGCGACCGAUAGCGGACAAGUACCGUGAGGGAAAGGUGAAAAGUACCCCGGGAGGGGAGUGAAAUAGUACCUGAAACCGUGUGCUUACAAUCCGUCAGAGCCCUCGUUGUGGGGUGAUGGCGUGCCUUUUGAAGAAUGAGCCUGCGAGUCAGUGCUCGGUGGCGAGGUUAACCCGUCUGGGGGUAGCCGUAGCGAAAGCGAGUCCGAAUAGGGCGUUUGAGUCGCCGGGUCUGGACCCGAAGCGGAGUGAUCUACCCAUGGCCAGGGUGAAGCAGCAGUAAGAUGUUGUGGAGGCCCGAACCCACUUAGG